UAUUGCACAAUGGGCGCAAGCCUGAUGCAGCCAUGCCGCGUGUGUGAAGAAGGCCUUCGGGUUGUAAAGCACUUUCAGUCAGGAGGAAAGGUUAGUAGUUAAUACCUGCUAGCUGUGACGUUAUUGACAGAAGAAGCACCGGCUAACUCCGUGCCAGCAGCCGCGGUAAUACGGAGGGUGCGAGCGUUAAUCGGAAUUACUGGGCGUAAAGCGUACGCAGGCGGUUUGUUAAGCGAGAUGUGAAAGCCCCGGGCUCAACCUGGGAACUGCAUUUCGAACUGGCAAACUAGAGUGUGAUAGAGGGUGGUAGAAUUUCAGGUGUAGCGGUGAAAUGCGUAGAGAUUUGAAGGGAUACCGAUGGCGAAGGCAGCCACCUGGGUCAACACUGACGCUCAUUACGAAA
Molecule: ribosomal RNA, 403 nt
Filed under: uncultured bacterium
Lineage: Bacteria
Description: bacterial SSU rRNA
Rfam family: Bacterial small subunit ribosomal RNA
Source: RNAcentral